GGGUGUGUAGCUCAGUGGUUAGAGCGCCAAUCUUAUAAGUUGGAUGUCCUUGGUUCAAAUCCAAGCACACCCACCA
This 76-nucleotide transfer RNA is filed under the name bacterium. Its description in RNAcentral is "tRNA-Ile". It matches the Rfam family "tRNA". Rfam says of the family: Transfer RNA (tRNA) molecules are approximately 80 nucleotides in length. The record is from RNAcentral.